Molecule: ribosomal RNA, 635 nt
Filed under: uncultured bacterium
Lineage: Bacteria
Description: bacterial SSU rRNA
Rfam family: Bacterial small subunit ribosomal RNA
Source: RNAcentral
CCUACGGGAGGCAGCAGUGGGGAAUAUUGCGCAAUGGGGGAAACCCUGACGCAGCAACGCCGCGUGAGUGAGGAAGGACUUCGGUCUGUAAAGCUCUGUUAAUGUGGAAAAAUGGUAGUUGGUCUAAUAGGCCGAUUAUUUGAUGGUACACAUAGAGGAAGCACCGGCUAACUUCGUGCCAGCAGCCGCGGUAAUACGAAGGGUGCAAGCGUUGUUCGGAUUUAUUGGGCGUAAAGCGCGCGUAGGCGGACCUGUAAGUCAGAUGUGAAAUCUCGGGGCUCAACCUCGAAACUGCGUCUGAAACUGCAGGUCUAGAAUCUCGGAGGGGGAAGGGAAUUUCGCAUGUAGGGGUAAAAUCCGUAGACAUGCGAAGGAACACCAGAGGCGAAGGCGCCUUCCUGGACGAGUAUUGACGCUGAGGCGCGAAAGCGUGGGGAUCAAACAGGAUUAGAUACCCUGGUAGUCCACGCUGUAAACUAUGAACACUAGGUAUUGGAGGUAUUUCGACCCCUUNAGUGCCGUAGCUAACGCGUUAAGUGUUCCGCCUAGGGAAGUACGGUCGCAAGACUUAAAACUUAAGUGUAAGUUAGACGGCGUGAGACGUCGCCGACGGACGACCGACGAGGGAGGUUAGG